Molecule: ribosomal RNA, 197 nt
Filed under: uncultured bacterium
Lineage: Bacteria
Description: partial 16S ribosomal RNA
Rfam family: Bacterial small subunit ribosomal RNA
Source: RNAcentral
ACUCCUACGGGAGGCAGCAGUGGGGAAUAUUGGACAAUGGGCGAAAGCCUGAUCCAGCAAUGCCGCGUGCAGGAUGAAGGCCCUCGGGUUGUAAACUGCUUUUGUACGGAACGAAAAGCCUGGGGCUAAUAUCCCCGGGUCAUGACGGUACCGUAAGAAUAAGCACCGGCUAACUACGUGCCAGCAGCCGCGGUAAU